GACGAACGCUGGCGGCGUCCUUAACACAUGCAAGUCGAACGGAAAGGCCUCUUUCGGGGGGUACUCGAGUGGCGAACGGGUGAGUAACACGUGAGUAACCUGCCCUUGACUUUGGGAUAACUUCAGGAAACUGGGGCUAAUACCGGAUAGGAGCUCCUGCUGCAUGGUGGGGGUUGGAAAGUUUCGGCGGUUGGGGAUGGACUCGCGGCUUAUCAGCUUGUUGGUGGGGUAGUGGCUUACCAAGGCUUUGACGGGUAGCCGGCCUGAGAGGGUGACCGGCCACAUUGGGACUGAGAUACGGCCCAGACUCCUACGGGAGGCAGCAGUGGGGAAUAUUGCACAAUGGGUGGAAGCCUGAUGCAGCAACGCCGUGUGCGGGAUGACGGCCUUCGGGUUGUAAACCGCUUUCGCUCAUGACGAAGCUUUGUGUGACGGUAGUGGGUAAAGAAGCACCGGCUAACUACGUG
Molecule: ribosomal RNA, 467 nt
Filed under: uncultured bacterium
Lineage: Bacteria
Description: partial 16S ribosomal RNA
Rfam family: Bacterial small subunit ribosomal RNA
Source: RNAcentral